RNAcentral lists this ribosomal RNA (252 nucleotides) under uncultured bacterium. Its description in RNAcentral is "partial 16S ribosomal RNA". It matches the Rfam family "Bacterial small subunit ribosomal RNA", at positions 524 to 776 of the family's 1533-position model. The record is from RNAcentral.
UACGGAGGAUGCGAGCGUUAUCCGGAUUUAUUGGGUUUAAAGGGUGCGUAGGCGGGCUUUUAAGUCAGCGGUAAAAAUUCGGGGCUCAACCCCGUCCGGCCGUUGAAACUGGGGGCCUUGAGUGGGCGAGAAGAAGGCGGAAUGCGUGGUGUAGCGGUGAAAUGCAUAGAUAUCACGCAGAUCCCCGAUUGCGAAGGCAGCCUUCCGGCGCCCUACUGACGCUGAGGCACGAAAGUGCGGGGAUCGAACAGG